GAUGAACGCUAGCGACAGGCUUAACACAUGCAAGUCGAGCGAAGCGAUUUUGAGGAAGUUUUCGGAUGGAAUUGAAAUUGACUUAGCGGCGGACGGGUGAGUAACACGUGGGUAAUCUGCCUUAUACAGGGGGAUAACAGUUAGAAAUGACUGCUAAUACCGCAUAAGCGCACGGGGACGCAUGUUUCUGUGUGAAAAACUCCGGUAGUAUAAGAUGAGCCCGCGUCUGAUUAGCUGGUUGGUGGGGUAACGGCCUACCAAGGCGACGAUCAGUAGCCGGCCUGAGAGGGUGAACGGCCACAUUGGGACUGAGACACGGCCCAA
RNAcentral lists this ribosomal RNA (324 nucleotides) under uncultured bacterium. Its description in RNAcentral is "bacterial SSU rRNA". It matches the Rfam family "Bacterial small subunit ribosomal RNA", at positions 28 to 334 of the family's 1533-position model. The record is from RNAcentral.